AAGCGCUUGUGACCAGACUUGCGCCGGGCGGCUCAUCCGGGGUUCUCCCCGGUGCACUCCGCCCGGCUCAGGCCAGCAUCGGUUCUCGUUGGGGGAUAAGAACGGCAGGAACGUGGCCCUCCUUCGGGUGGGUGUUAUAGCCUGCCGUACGAUACCCUGACGGGGACCGAGGUUCGCGCUCCGCAAGGAUGCUGGCGUAAUGGUCAUCAGCGA
Molecule: ribosomal RNA, 213 nt
Filed under: Chrysoporthe deuterocubensis
Lineage: Eukaryota; Fungi; Ascomycota; Sordariomycetes; Diaporthales; Cryphonectriaceae
Description: partial large subunit ribosomal RNA
Source: RNAcentral